UCCUCCACCUGAGCCUUUCUCAGCAAACCACCGGUGCUGCCGCCAAAAAUUGGCGAUGGGGUGCUUGGGUCCAACUCCGGUGGUGUGAAGCCCACCGGAGCCUCCUCAGUUUUUCCCUCUGCAGCAGUAGCCUUGAUGGGAGUUAGAGGGUUGGAGUAUUUAAGGGGUUUAGCAGCAGUUGGGAUUGAGAUAAAGGAGGAUUGAUUCCAUGGCACGAUCACAUGGUUGCUUGAUUUAAUGGUGGUGGUGGGUGUGAAGAGAGAGGCUUGAGUUGCCAUUGCCAUAAGGACUUGGAGAACUGUGUGUGAUCAAGAAGAUAGAAGGAGAAAAAAGGAUUAUAGAUUUAUGAGGGUGGUGGAUCUUAAAGGAAUGGUAGAAAUGUGGAUAAGAUGGUAUAGGUUGGACCAAUUAGAUUGUCUGAUUUUGAUUCGUUGGCUUGCGAGGGCCAAUUAAAAUGCCGAUUUUGAUUUGUUGGCUUGCCUUACCCACACCUCAUUUCCUUCUUUCUUUUAAUGCGUUUCCUGCUUUAUUUCAGGCCUUGGGCCUGAUUUCUUGGGUCUGUUUCAUUGGGCCUGAUUCCUGCAAAUAGUUUUCCACUGGUAUUUAAAAAAAUAAUAACUUAGAAGAAUAGAUUAUUUAUAGAUAAUACUGCUAACUGCUAUGCAUUAAAAACAAGACCAUUGAGACUGGGAAGUAGAUAGAAUAUUUUCAAUCCCCAUCACCUGAAUUAGGUAAAAUUUAAAAGAAAGCCCCAAUAGCAUUUAAUACAAGGGCAUUAUUAUGUGACAAGGGUAGUCGUCCCAAAUUUUUUACACAAUGUACAACAAAUUUUAACGUGGGACAACACCAGCUGUUUACACGACUCAUUCGAACCUGGGAUCUUCCUCCCAGCCACAAAGGAUCUUUUCCCUGACUCCAGCAGCUGACCUUCUAGUCACAAUGGAGCCAACUAUUGUUGCACCAAGGUGAGCCCAUAUAAACAAGCUACAAGCAAUAAUUUACUUCACAAUUCACAAACUCCUCUCAACAAAUUCCCAAAUCCUUUCUUCCAUGUAAACUCGGUCCCUGUGCCGGCGUGGCAUGUGUCGUUCAUCUGGGAAGAUUAGUAGCUCAUAUGGUUUACCAGCUGCCACCAGCGCAUUCACAAGCCUUGCAGUGUGCCUAAAAUGCACAUUUUCAUCAAUCAUUCCAUGCACCAAUAAUAACUUUCCUUUUAUCUUGUGCACAUGAUGCAUCACAGAGCUGUAUUCAUAACCUGUAGGAUUCUGGGAGGGCAAUCCCAUAUAUUUCUCCGUGUAAAAUGUGUCGUAUCCAUCCCAUGACGUUACAGGAGCUCCAGCUCCAGCACAACGGAAGACGUCAGGAAACCUGGCGAGAAUCAUAGCUGACAUAUAUCCCCCAUAGCUCCAACCGUACAACCCAAUAUGACCAACUUUUGCUAGCCCUUGUUUGAUGAGCCAUUCAGCUCCAGCAAGCUGAUCAUCAGCAUCCACACCACCAGCAUUGUAUUUAAGAGCACCUUCAAACCUUAGCCCACGCCGAGCACUUCCUCUAUUAUCCAACUGUAAAUGGUGAAACAAUCAAGAUAAAAGUAUUUUAAAAACCAAUAAAUGGAUGUGAUUUGAGAUGUUAAUGGAAAAUAGCAAGUUUAUUUUUGUGUCAUAACACAUUAGCAUUUAAGCUGCUUACUGCAAUGCAUCAUAGUAUAAGAUGUCUCCAAACGUUACAUUCAAUAGCUAAACAUGUCCCUUUCCGUUGCAGGAAUAUUCAAGCAUGAAAGAACUUGAGAUUUCAAAAUACGUGUGCCUAAACAAGCACCUAGCAAAAAGAACACAAACAAAUAUCCAGAAAAUGCAAGUUUCCAUCGUUCAAAUGGCAGAAAAGAAUUAUGAUUAACACAUUAUGGAAACAUUGAGGUAGGUAUUCAAAUGGGCAGCUGUAAUGCGUUCAGACAGCAUUUUUGGACAAGACAGGUGUUUGGGAGAAAAAAAUACCACCACAUUCUACCCAAUUAAAACAGUUAUCAAAACCAAGUCAACAAUUCAGGUUUCCGAAUUGAAAAGACUAACCUUCCAUACCAGAAUGCCUUUGCUCCGUAGAUAUUGAGCUCUCAUGUCAACUGUAUUUAACCAAGAAUCAGAGACAUAUUGCACACCUGGACCACCAUACACAUUGAUCAAGGUUUUGUAUGGUGGUGGUCCAAAUUUUGUUGGGUCAGGCUUAUAUAAAGCUCCAUAUAAUAUGGUCCCAUCAUUUGCCUGAACCUGAACUAUCUUUGGAGGCUCAAGUUCAAGCCUCUUAAAUCGUGGAACGGUAGAUGACUGUUCAUGCAGAGGCAUAAUUACAGUUCCAUCAAGCAAGGAGCAUAGCAAAAUCCUAGGGGGACAGGCAAGGGAAUCGUGAAUAUCAACAAAAUUACGCAUGUGGUGAUCAAGCACAACCACAUGUUUCCCCUUACCAUGCGUUAAUCUCACUGGGCCAAGCGAGUUCUGGUUGCCAUCUGGGUAAAGUUUACAGCAGUAAAGGUUAGAUUGCAAAGGUCCAUCUAGAGUUGCAGUAAAAUACACAAGCCCUGCAGCCUCAUUUACACCAACAAUUUGCUCAACCAUCCAUUCGCCUUCAGUGAUAGGUGCCAAGCAUGGGCCAUUUGCAUCAUGGAGAUACAAAUGUCUAAAGCCUGUUUUUUCACUUGCCCAGAUAAAUCCUCCAGAAUAUUCAGAAACACCUUUAUCCAAAGGAGUGAAGCAAUCAUGUAAAUUAACCCAUGUAUCUUGUUCUUCCACCAAUAUAACUUUUCUUUGCCCUGUCUUAAUAUCAAAUUUCAGGAUCUUUAAUUUGGAGUGAGACCUGUUUAGAACCUGAGCUAUGAGGAUAUCUCCAUGCAUCCAGUUGACUCUGGCCAAAUAUUCCUCCUCGUUGUCCAGUUCUUUAGUUCCUCCACAGUCAAGAUCCAACCAUGUCGUAGGACCACCAGCAACAGAAACUACCCCAAGGCAAACUUUGGCAUUUGAAGCUCCUGCAAAGGGAUAAGCAUGGUCUUCCUGUGCCUCUACACCAACAGAACUUUUACCUUGGUGCAUUAUUCUAAAAAGAGGUAUCUUAGAUGAAUCAACUUCUGUGAAUGCAAUGAAUUUGCUGUCAAGUGACCACCAAUAUCCAUUUUUCCUGUCCAUUUCCUCCUGCAAUUGACAAAAUUAAAGAUCAGAGAAGAAAUAUAAUUCUACCCAGAGAGGAAAAGCAGUGACAACAGCAGCAGUGACAAAAUUAUAGAAUCAAUUUAAUGCAACUUAAAACGAGUAAAACUAGUAUGUUUGCAUCAAAAAGAGAAAUUAGUAAAGGUAACUCCAGAAACACGCACAGAGAAUCUGGGUUGCCAUCCAUGACUAGGAUCUGUGAUUUAGGAAACUUCAGGGGAAAGGUAUCAACAUAAUUUGCAAAAUCGAAAAAAAAAAAAAGGUAGACAGAUUCCUUUUUAUACGUAACGAAAGCAUAUAAAUUCACUUCACUAGAUACUUGUCUGAACGUAUUUACUUUCAACAACCCUUAAAUCUAUUUCUCUUUAUGUUAUGGCAUCCAAAACCAACUCACGUUGAACUCUGGAAUAAGACCACCAGUCUUUUAAGUAUUAUAAUCCCCAUCUUCAAAUUCUCUGAAUGGACUAUGGAUUUGAUUAAUCCAAAGAGACAUCCACCAUACACCAUAGAGUUUUUACACACUCAUAGUGGAGCAAAUCAUUAACUGUCUCCUUUGUUAGAAUGCAUGAUUAACCAAAAACUCCCUCAUCAUAAAGUUAUUUAUCAUUAAAUUCUCCCAAGAGCCUCCUUAAGCAAACAUGACUCUUUUGAGAGAUGAAAAGGAAAACUAUUUGCAAAACAGAGAACGUCUAAUUUAAUGCAUAUAAGGAAAAUGAAAAGGAAAUAAUUGGAUAUAUUUCUCACCUGAGCUAUAUAUUCAGCAAGGCCAUGAGUCUGCAGGGGCAAAAAGGAAGGCUAUCAACUUCAAAGCAUAAGAGCAUUAAUAAAAAAAGAAUUUAUUCACCACAAUGCAAAGUGUCAAUUUUUGUUCCUAAAAUCAUAUGCAUCUACAGAAGAAAAUUGAAGAAACCUGUCCUGGCACCAGAGCCUCAGCAAUGUAAGAACAAGCCACAGACCCUCCUCUAGAAAACCACUUCAAUUUCAAUGUUACAGGGAAAACAUAAUAUGAAACAAGAAUAAAAUUGUCAACAUCCAAAACUAAAUUCCAGUACCACAUUCAGACAAGUGUUCCACAGUUCUACCAUAUCACGGUGGCCCGGGUUAAACUUUGCAAACACCUAAGAGUAAGUAACGGAAAAUUUAGAGAUAAGCUGAGGAAGAGUAUGAACUAACAACAUCUUGAUUUCUUACCCAUUACGGAACCUAGUAUCCUGCAUAACUUUAAAUAUCAGGCAUAAGUGGAUGCAAAAAGAACCAAAACUGGAAAAACAUAUUGGUAACAAACUGCCCUACAUAUAAUGUGCAAGUUUGAAAGUAAAGAACUAGUUGGCAGUGAUUUAAUCUGAAAAUAUGCCCUGGACAGAGCUGCAGUGUAAAGAAGAAGCAUACACUAAGAACCACCUAGUUAGACUUGAAGUGCAUUGUGAAAUUAUUACAGAGCUGUAUAAAUUAUAAUGCUUGAUAUCGUAAUCUAUUGGACCAUUAAGAGUCAAGAUGGUAGAAGAACAUAUUUCUCUUUCAACCAGACCACCAAUAUCAUUAAGACAGAAUAAAAAGACACAAAACAAACAUGUCAGUCACUCAACCUAUGCCAUGAUGUAUUAGUUGAGAUGAAAUCUAUGCUUAUACUGCAUCACAUCCAAUGAUGAUUACAAAGAUUGAACCUUGUAAAGUUACCAGUUAAUUGAAACCUACCACUACAUUUCCCUGUGCACCAUGUGUUAGUUGUUUUGGUUCAUUGUACAAGAGAUUUAAAACAUGCAGCUCGCUAUCCUUCACAUAAGCGAGCAUAGUACCAUCCGGGGACAGAUGUGGAUCAAUAAUUGGUGAAAAUGGUGAGCUAGGAAGUUUAAGCUCCACUUUUGAUGAAUAAAGUUCCUGCAAAUAAAUCUGUAAACACAUAGGAAAUAAACCGUCAGCAGAGCUUAAUGAAUUCAAAUUUGUGGCAUAACCAUCCAAUGGAAUUCAAACUGAAAUACUUUCUGUUAAUUCUUUCUAUUCCAUAUUUCAUUGGAUUUGGCAAAAUCCUCUACAAAAUUAACUUAAAAAAGUACUGAACAUUAGAAAACAGUUUAAAUUAGCAAAUGCAGUUCUACCAGCUGCAAAACAUGAAAUGAGAUAUAAGCCAACUCUAUAAUAAUACCACCAGCGAGAAGUACCAAUGAGCAACUUUUAUUCCUUCGCCUUGGUAAGGCCAAUUAUCCAUGUAUAUUGUUUAAGGGAAAAAAGACACAAAGCAACAAUUACAAAACAAUCUCACCAACUAUUAUAAAUUACAAGAAAUAAGUGAACAAACCCCUGCAGGCAAAGGCACCAUAAUUGCUUUCUUCUUUGAGUUUGUCUUCACCCAUUCGUACCGUGUCACUCCAAGUCCACGUUCUCUUGAUCUCUCUCUUCUCAACUUCUCUUCUGGCGAUAUGUUACUCUCAUCAAGUCCACCAUCAGGAGGACUAAAAAACAGUUCCCGUUUACCAGUCUUGAGAUCAAAAGCAAACACCAUUCUACUCAAAUUUUGAUCGGGACUAAACAAGAAAGUUAUUAAAGUAUCAUCAGGACUGAAACUGAUUGAAGUGGGUGCAUCGUAUCCUGGCAAUGGGGAUUGCACAAUAUCCUCAACAGGGAAAAAAAUGCAGUCAUCAAGAUUUUGAGGAGCUAUGGUGUCAGUCACAGGCAUGUCGUUACUGAAUGAUCUCAAACGCUUCAAUUUAUUGUUCUGGUUCUCGUUAACCGAUUGCAUUACAAGAGAACUAAAUGCUAUCAAUUAAAUUGGUAGAGAGCAUGAACCAAACCCUUCAAAUGAAAAAUCCAGAAGAAAGACAAGAUUAAAAGCUAUAUUAUCUGUGUAAAAUCACAAACUGACAUUAAAUGAACUAAAACAGCGUUAAUUUUAAUAUCGAUCUUUUCCCCCCAUUUUCUGAGCAAUAAAAUGUAAAACUAACUCUUUUUUUUUUAAAAUAAAAUAAAAUCAUUUCCAUUUCGUGCUGAUUUUCUUCCAAACACACCAAGGAAACAAAGAAAGCAACAUAUUUUACCUGCUAAGAAACUCCAAGGAUUAGUUCACUAAGGAAGCUCUCUCCACGACGAGAAAUAAUCAGCUGGAUCCUGUAGUAGAAUAUGAAACUGUAUCGCCUCCACAAUCAAAACUUUCAUUAUCUUUUCCAAAGAGGACUUGGAUUGGAAUAACAAAAACAAAAACUAUCAUUCAUUGGAAAAGACAAUGGAAAUGAUCGGCCAUGAGAGGGAAAGAAAGAUUCCUGGGCAGAUCGAGUUAUUCGAUUAAAAAUCUGAAAUUGAAGAGGAAUAAGGAAUUGGAUUCUGAGCUUGGAGUUGGAGAUAACUGGAAGAGAUCUGCUGAAAAGCUGAGCUCCUUUUGGUUGCUGAUUGUGGACUUUUAGCUUCCGAACUUGAAAUACGUUAGAUUCCAAGCUAAAACCCAAAGUCUGUUACACUUCAUUAUUACUAUUAUUUUCAGCACAUUUUAAUCUCUACAAUUUUAUUAUUUUAUCAAUUUUUUCCUUUUUAAUAAAGAUUAAUUUUUUUUAUAAAAUUACAACUUUAAUUGUAAAAUAAUUGUACAAUAAAAUAAUGAUUUUUUUAAAAAUUAAAAAUUAAAAAAUAAAAAAUAAAAUUUAAAAUCAUUCAUAUUUAAAUCAUUUAUUAUUAUAUUAAAUUUAUAAAUAUGUAUAAUAAAAUAAUAAUAUAUUUGCAUAAUUAUUUUGAUACAUAUAUUUUUUUUAAUAAUAUUUUUAAUUAAGUAAAUAUUUGCAUAACAGCUAUAAUAUCCAUAAAGAGGAAAACGACAAUCACAUUAGAAAGUUCUACACACAAAAUGAAAAUUAUAGAUAAUAUAUUUAAACUUAUCAAAGUAAAUAAAAAAAAUAAAAAAUUGUUGUUGAAUAAUGGUCAUAAUUUCAAAUUAAAUUUAGAGUAGUAAAAUUAAAGUAAUAAUAAUUGUGAAUUGAAAUAAUUAAAAAAAAUGCACUAAAUCAAAUCUUUAAGUCCUUCGCCUGUCAACUUUACGCCUGCCAAGGGUCGCCAAAGUCAAUAAGCAAAUUUUAUAGGUAUUUAAAUUAAUGAGUAAACUGUAAUUUAGUCCCUCUGUUUUAGUGAAAUAUAAUCUCUCGUCCCUCUAUUUUAAAAAACCUUCAAUUUAAUUUUUUACAUUUAAAAAAAUUAUAAAAUAGUCCCUACCGUCAAAUUUUCAGUUAAUAUUCCGUUUAUUUUAAUGAAAAUGACUAAACUACUCUUUAAAUAAAAAAAUUCAACCAAACAGUAUUCACUCCAUUUCAACACAGGAGGAGGAGGAGGAUAAAGGAUCAGGAAAAGAAUGAGAAGGAAGAGGAGGAGAAAAGAAAAAAGAGGAUUGGGAGGAGGAGGAGGAGGAGAAGGAGAAGGAGAAGGAAGAGAAAGGAUCGGGAAAAGAAGGAGAAUGAGAAGAAGAAAAAGAAGAAGAAGGAGGAGGAGGAGGAGAAAAGGAAGAAGAGGAUCAGGAAAAGAAGGAGAAGGAUGAGAAAAAAAAGGGUAGUUUAGUCAUUUUUAUUAAAAUAAAUUAAAGGUUAACUGAAAAUUUGACGGUAGAGACUAUUUUACAAUUUUUUUAAAUGUAAAGGAUUAAAUUGAAGAUUUUUUAAAAUAGAGGGACGAAAGAUUAUAUUUUACUAGAGAGAUUAAAUUGUAAUUUACCCUAAAUUAAAUUUAUAGUUGAUGUGACGAUUACCCAUAACUGAUAAAGCGAUUUAUUAAAUUUUAAUGUUUUUUACCUUAUUAAUAUGGAAAAUUAUUUACAUAUAUGGAUAAUAUUAAAAUUUUUUAAAUAUAUUUAUUCCUACUAUAAUAAAUUAAACAAUUUUUAUAAGUUAUAAACCUAUUACUUAAUUAAUAUUUUUUAAAUAUAUUUAUUGAAUCAUUCACAUUUAGUAAAUUUACAAAUUGAUCUUAUAGUAAUGAAGAGAAAGAUGCAAACACAUUCCUUAGCUUUAGAAUGCAAAAAUUCGUUUACAUAUGCAAAUGGACUUCUCAUACCCAUUGUUAAGAAAUUUUGGCUGUUUUAAUUUUUAAUUUCUGUUCAUCGGUUUCAAAUGAAAUAAUGAAUUUGCAAAUAUCUGUUACUUAAAAAUAAUCUGGUGAUAAUAGCGCUAAUAAUCUGGUGAUAAUUAGGGGUAUGCCCUCCUAAUUUUCUGUAUGAGGCUUUGAUGAUG
Molecule: long non-coding RNA, 8392 nt
Filed under: Manihot esculenta (cassava)
Lineage: Eukaryota; Viridiplantae; Streptophyta; Magnoliopsida; Malpighiales; Euphorbiaceae
Description: long non-coding RNA (MESC_LNC000902)
Source: RNAcentral